Non-coding RNA from Macaca mulatta (Rhesus monkey), 3437 nucleotides. Lineage: Eukaryota; Metazoa; Chordata; Mammalia; Primates; Cercopithecidae. The record is from RefSeq and is a predicted model, not a curated record.
AGGGCGAAGGCUCUGGCCUCAGCCAGCCCAGAUUGGGGUUCCCACGGUGCCGUGGCGGGCUGAGGGACUCCUCAAGUGCCGCCAGAGUGGACGCCAAGGCUGCUAGCACAUUGUCAUCUCUCAGUAAUAUGGUAUAAAAAUAUCUGUGAUUUCCAUUGGUGACAAAGUAACAGGUGUAAUGAAGAAUCUUGAGGUCAUCCUGGAUUACCAAAGUGGGCCCUAAAUCCAGUGGCAAGUGUCCUCAUAAGAGACAGACACAGAGCAGAGACCAGGUGAAGACAAAAGAAGAGGCUGGAGUGAUACAGUCAUCAGAAAGCAUGGGUCAAGAUAAAUCUCCCAUUAGCCUGAGUCCCUGAAAGAAUGCAGUGAAAUGAACACAGCCUACCAGGUGACCUGCACUGGUGUGUGUGGUAUCUACAUGAGACGCAUGUGAUGACUGGAGACUAGGCAUUAUGAAUGACUUAGGAAACCUCUGGAGGGUGCCUGCUUUGUGGCCAUAAACCACUGUGCCCAUGUGGAAAACAUUGCAGUCCUGGGGCAGAAGAUAAACUUCAUGCUUGAUAAAAAACAACCAAAAGUAUCUUACUAUACUGUACUCAACCUUCUUGGGAUGAUGUGAGUUGAUAAAAUGCCUACAUGAUGAGAUGAAGUGACAUGAAUGGCAUAGCAUUGUGAUGUAACAUUAGCUGCUGUCAUCUGCUUUGGGCGAUCCUGGGUCAUCAAGCCAUGAAGAUGUUGAUGGUUGGAUGUCAGAAGCAGAUGUCGAUGACUAACAGUGUUCAUCACCAUCUGACAAUACUUAUCGAUGAAUAUAGACGCAUAUACAACACUUGCUCAAGAAAAACAUUUAAUAUCGAGAAAAUUUUCAAUAUUUAUUUAGAGAAAUACAUACUCCCCGUAUAGUCCCCAAUUUUAUUAACAGAUUCCAGGAGACGGUGGGCAAGUCUAAUAACCCAUGGCUGAGAAAUUUGUUGACAUUUUUUUCCACCUUCAGAAGAAUUAGCAUUGUCUUCAGAGAUGUUCCAAGUGAAACAGCAUGUAUGUCCUGAAUAGAAUAACAACUUUUUAAACAAAGAAAUAAGGGAUAAACUCUUGGCCAACAGACCUUGGAAGGGAGAAAUAACUUCCAUUGGCAGCUGGAACAGAUGGCAUCUCAAGCAUGACAGAUUUCCCACCAUUCCAACUAGGAUCAAUAUCCAUUAGCAUGAAGUAAGUUAGCUGGCAGUUGGGUGAGAAUUCUGCCUAUUAGUUUGAUUUAGGUAUGGGUUGAUUUGCAUAGUUUUGCCAUGAUACUUUGUUUCAGCUCAUUACUUGUGACUGGAUUCAAUAGCAGCCAUCCCAAGGAUUGUGUGAUCAUCAGCUAACUGACGUAAAGUUGAAACUGGAAAGAUUUGUAAAGAAAGAGCAAGUGAAUUGAAGGGAUUAAACUACAUCUCUAUGUUGGCUUUCUUCCUCUGUGGAUAUUCAAAUAAAGCAAUUUCAUAGUACUUUUCUGAAGCAAAGUUAGAGAGUAAGUGGAGGAAAUUGGCAAUGUAGAUGGAAAACAGACCAAUAUUUAUCAUGAGUUUACUUUCUACCUGGUGUUUUUCAACUGGAAUUCUUUUAAUUCUUACUGCAGAUCACACAGUAGGUGACAAAACCUGGCUUCAAAUCCAUGUUUGAAUCUGAGAGCCAUUCUUUUCAUCUUUCAAUUACAUUGUGGAUGGUCAGUCGUCCAUCAGCCUUUAGCUCUUUUCUUCCUCAAGACAUUAUGCCUGAGCCCAUUCUUAAAGGUUUUUCUCUUCAGGAAAUUCUUAAGUUCUCAACCUGGAAUACUGGUGUAUAAUAUUCAUUGAAUAUAAGAGUUAAUUGCAUUUUAACUAAAAACCCAAUAACUUAAUGCAAAGAGAUAAAUUUCUAAUGACGAGUUAUCAGAUAAUGUAUUUACAUACUCAUGCAACACCUAGCUAUUCACCAAGCAUCUAUUAUAUGCCAAGUACACUGUGCUAAGUACUGAGAAAACAAUAGUGAGCAAAACAACGACAGUUCUUGUUUCAAGAAGCAUAGAGCUUGAUGGGAACAAAGAUACUGAUUAAAGAACACAUAAAUUUAUAUUAAAUUAUGAUUGUUAAGACUGAUACAAAAGAAAGUUAAAGGAUGCUUAUAAUAGUAGAGACUUGAGUUGUAGGUUGGGUUCCCGGGAAGCAGACUUCUAAGAUAAAAUGAAUGCGUAGGAUAUUUAUUAGGGAGUAUUGUUGAGAUCAACACUAGUAGGAAGAAGAAGAAACAACUGGGCUAAGGUGGAAGUUGGGUUGUGAUGCAGGCUCUAUGAAGCCCUCAGCUGACCUACUGGGAACCGUGAUACUUAGAUGAGCCUUAAGAGUUACCUCAAGUUGGGAUGAGGGUCCAGGUCUUUAUAUUCCACAUCAGUUAGUCUUUGGCCUUGUGUUGGUUCAGAAGGGAGUAUUUUGAUGACAGAGUAGAAUGUAUGGAAAUGGACACAACUUUUUCCUAAACAUUUGGCUUAGGUAGGAAGGAGGAACAUAGAGAAUGGUAGCUAGAGGACAGUGCAGACCACAGUGAACUUUUAUUUUCAAUAGAAGUAUCUGAGGCAUGGUUGUGUUAAAGAGGAGAGGCUUCAUGGAGUAUUACUGGGGGAGAUGCUUCUAGGUAGGCAUUUUAAUCAGAGGCAUUUUAAACAUAUCUCACCACAAAACAAUCUUUGUGUAUAUCCCACUUUGUUCUUGACCUGGGUAUAAAUAAGUAUGGUACACAUAGACUUAAAACUUUACAUUCUUAAAUUUUGUACUUCCUACCUUUUUCAAGAUAUUUACUGGUAGACCUACCUCAGUAAAGGAGGAAGAUGAAGGUUAAACAUGGUAGCACGAGUCAUAGUCUAUAUGUGGGAUAAAAGAGAGAAAUGUAUUUGGCAUAGAAUAUUGGGAACAAUCAUUUUAGGAUCUCAAAUCGUUCUUCACAAUAAUACUAGAAGAUGUGACUAUUGAUUAAUCCAGAAAUAUAAUUUGUGCCUUUCUCUAAGUAUUGGAAAUUUAUCUGGUAUAAUUUGAACCAGCAGGUAUGACUAGUCUCAAAAAGAGGAGGUCUCAAGACUCAACAGCUACUGGGUAUGGUGAUAGGAAAUUACAUCAGAUAUUAAAACUCAGGGUUAAGCUUAUCAGUAAUCUGGAUGUAUUUGGAAUUGAAGGUAGGGAAAUGUGAAUUUUAAACUUUAUGACACUAAUAUUCUAAAUAUGUUGCUGUACUAUUUUAAUUAUAAGGUGUAUUAGUCAGAAAUCUAUAAAAGGGCAGAACCAAUGGGAUAGAUGAAUAUAUAAGGGGAGUUUAUUAGGAGAGUUGACUCACACGAUCACAAGGUGAAGUCCCGCAACAGGCUGCCUGCAAGUUGAGAGGCCAAGAAGCCAGUCCGAGUCCCAAAACCUCAAAAGUAGGGAAGCUGA